This 455-nucleotide ribosomal RNA is filed under the name Bacillus sp. (in: firmicutes). Its description in RNAcentral is "bacterial SSU rRNA". It matches the Rfam family "Bacterial small subunit ribosomal RNA", at positions 63 to 500 of the family's 1533-position model. The record is from RNAcentral. Lineage: Bacteria; Bacillati; Bacillota; Bacilli; Caryophanales; Bacillaceae.
CGAGCGGACAGAUGGGAGCUUGCUCCCUGAUGUUAGCGGCGGACGGGUGAGUAACACGUGGGUAACCUGCCUGUAAGACUGGGAUAACUCCGGGAAACCGGGGCUAAUACCGGAUGCUUGUUUGAACCGCAUGGUUCAAACAUAAAAGGUGGCUUCGGCUACCACUUACAGAUGGACCCGCGGCGCAUUAGCUAGUUGGUGAGGUAAUGGCUCACCAAGGCGACGAUGCGUAGCCGACCUGAGAGGGUGAUCGGCCACACUGGGACUGAGACACGGCCCAGACUCCUACGGGAGGCAGCAGUAGGGAAUCUUCCGCAAUGGACGAAAGUCUGACGGAGCAACGCCGCGUGAGUGAUGAAGGUUUUCGGAUCGUAAAGCUCUGUUGUUAGGGAAGAACAAGUACCGUUCGAAUAGGGCGGUACCUUGACGGUACCUAACCAGAAAGCCACGGCUAA